GUUUAUUUAUUAAACAGUCUGAUAUUUAUAGCUUCUUUUUCAUUUUUAUUUUUUUGUUAUAACCUCAAGACCACAUAGAACCAGAUCCAAAACCACAACACUUUGAAAGGUCAAAUCUGGACAAGUUUUAAAAAAUCUUUAAAACCCAGUUUUGAUUUCGGAAAUCUUUUUUAUGAUUCAUGAAAACACACUGAAACAAAAACAUUUCUCAAUGGCUUUGAUUUAGACA
Acanthochromis polyacanthus (spiny chromis) is the source of this 229-nucleotide long non-coding RNA. RefSeq lists it as uncharacterized. The transcript is spliced from 2 exons. NCBI's taxonomy places the organism in Eukaryota, Metazoa, Chordata, Actinopteri, Pomacentridae. The record is from RefSeq and is a predicted model, not a curated record.